Molecule: non-coding RNA, 266 nt
Organism: Ciona intestinalis (vase tunicate)
Lineage: Eukaryota; Metazoa; Chordata; Ascidiacea; Phlebobranchia; Cionidae
Source: RefSeq, a predicted model, not a curated record
CUGGUUAAAUAACUUUGCAAUUUCACGAUUUUUCACAUUGAUGUUUGCACCACCUUUCCUGCAAUUCAAAUUUACAACUGAAUAUCAUUGUAAAGUGGCUUGGGCAACUACUUGGAAAGACUUCUCUGGAAAGCAAAAUUUCUUAUCUCAAUUUUUCACCUAUUUGCUGGUUGAAUUUGAUCCUAUGGACCAACCUUGACCUGAGCUUUUCAAUAUCUUGGUAAUUCUGUACAAACAUGGUGUGCUGUGAGGUUGGCAAACUUGAC